UACAGAGGGUGCAAGCGUUGUUCGGAAUUAUUGGGCGUAAAGGGAGUGUAGGCGGCACCAAAAGUCUUCUGUGAAAUCUACGGGCUUACCCCGUAACGUGCAGAGGAUACUCUGGAGCUAGAGUGUCGGAGAGGAUAGUGGAAUUCCAGGUGUAGAGGUGAAAUUCGUAGAGAUCUAGAGGAACACCAGUGGCGAAGGCGACUAUCUGGCUGACAACUGACGCUGAGACUCGAAAGCAUGGGGAGCAAACAGG
RNAcentral lists this ribosomal RNA (253 nucleotides) under uncultured bacterium. Its description in RNAcentral is "partial 16S ribosomal RNA". It matches the Rfam family "Bacterial small subunit ribosomal RNA", at positions 524 to 776 of the family's 1533-position model. The record is from RNAcentral.